RNAcentral lists this small RNA (315 nucleotides) under Pan troglodytes (chimpanzee). Its description in RNAcentral is "transcribed unitary pseudogene". Lineage: Eukaryota; Metazoa; Chordata; Mammalia; Primates; Hominidae. The record is from RNAcentral.
ACGCGUCCCUCGGCGGCGGGCAGGCUCCUCUUGGCCUGCAGCCUUACUUUCAUGCCCUUCUUCACAGUCUCCUGGGAGAUUAAGAUGAGUGACCUAGAGGAGAAGGAUGUUGAUGAAUUCAGCUCCAGUGGUUUUAAGUGCCCAACAUGCUUUGCAGUGCAAGGAAGGAAAUGCAAUACAGAACUCAAAUGGUGUGCAGCAGAUAAAAUAAAGUGUAUUGAAUUCUCUGGCAUCAUAAACACAGGUAUUCGUGACGUAGCCAUUGAAAUGAGGAGAUGCAUACAAGCAGACCUAUGCAAAGAGAUAACUUCUUAG